RNAcentral lists this long non-coding RNA (1300 nucleotides) under Homo sapiens (human). RNAcentral describes it as "HSALNT0031619". Lineage: Eukaryota; Metazoa; Chordata; Mammalia; Primates; Hominidae. The record is from RNAcentral.
GACAGAUGACCAACUCAUAAAAGAGUUUCUUAGUGGUUCUUACUGCUUUCGGUGUCGGUUGGUGGAAAUAUGAAUUCUGCUAUGGCAAACAUGUACAUCAAUACCAUGAGGACAAGGAUAGUGGGAAAACCUCUGUGGUUGUCGGGACAUGGAACCAAGAAGAGCAUAUUGAAUGGGCUAAGAAGAAUACUGCUAGAGCUUAUCAUCUUCAAGACGAUGGUACCCAGACAGUCAGGAUGGUGUCACAUUUUUAUGGAAAUGGAGAUAUUUGUGAUAUAACUGACAAACCAAGACAGGUGACUGUAAAACUAAAGUGCAAAGAAUCAGAUUCACCUCAUGCUGUUACUGUAUAUAUGCUAGAGCCUCACUCCUGUCAAUAUAUUCUUGGGGUUGAAUCUCCAGUGAUCUGUAAAAUCUUAGAUACAGCAGAUGAAAAUGGACUUCUUUCUCUCCCCAACUAAAGGAUAUUAAAGUUAGGGGAAAGAAAAGAUCAUUGAAAGUCAUGAUAAUUUCUGUCCCACUGUGUCUCAUUAUAGAGUUCUCAGCCAUUGGACCUCUUCUAAAGGAUGGUAUAAAAUGACUCUCAACCACUUUGUGAAUACAUAUGUGUAUAUAAGAGGUUAUUGAUAAACUUCUGAGGCAGACAUUUGUCUCGCUUUUUUUCAUUUUUGUUGUGUCUUAUAAACUGACUGUUUUUCUUUGCUUGGAUACUGUGAUUCCAAAAUAAAUCUCAUCCAAGCAAGUUAGAGUCCAGCCUAAUCAAAUGUCAUAAUUGUUGUACCUAUUGAAAGUUUUUAAAUAAUAGAUUUAUUAUGUAAAUUAUAGUAUAUGUAAGUAGCUAAUGAAGUAAAGAUCAUGAAGAAAGAAAUUGAUAGGUGUAAAUGAGAGACCAUGUAAAAUAUGUAAAUUCUAGUACCUGAAAUCCUUUCAACAGAUUUUUAUAUAGCAACUGCUCUCUGCAAGUAGUUAAACUAGAAACUGGGCACAUGGUAGAGGCUCACAUGGGAGUUGUCCUCACCCUUGUUAAUCUCAAGAAACUCUUAUUUAUAAUAGGUUGCUUCUCUCUCAGAACUUUUAUCUAUUACUUUUUUCUUCUUAUGAGUAUGUUUACUCUCAGAGUAUCUAUCUGAUGUAGACAGUUGGUGAUGCUUCUGAGACUCAGAAUGGUUUACUCUAACAAAACACUGUGCUGUCUAUCCCUUGUACUUGCCUACUGUAAUAUGGAUUUCACUUCUGAACAGUUUACAGCACAAUAUUUAUUUUAAAGUGAAUAAAAUGUCCACAAGCAGUGUUGUCAUGU